UUCAGUUUCCCCAUCUGUGAAGUGGGUGUAUGGGUGAGGGUCUCCACUCCCUCCUGGAGGGGCUGAGAGCAGGGGCCCAGGACCGUGGAGAGCCCAUUCCCCAGGGCUUUGAGCUCUGCACACUUUCUGGGCAGAUUUUGCAGGUUUGGCCUCGGAAGUGGUAGGAACCCAGGUCUCAAACCCCGGGCGCAGUCGGGUGGCAGGAGGGAGGCUUGGGAUCUCCCACUCAGGAGUCAACACUCCUGGAGGAAGAAGCACAGCCCACUGUGAAGCGGCCGCCCUGCCAGAGCCCCUCGGCUUCCUCCGGCUGGGUGGCUCUUUGCCCUCUUGGAGAUGAGGUUUUGAGUUGCUGGAUUGGGUUGAGAUGAAGGCCAGGUGUUUCCAGCAGGCACAGUGCGGAGACCUUGUGACCCGCAUGGUUGCCUGGCUCUGUGGGCUGCCCCUUGUCACGCCAGCUUUUGCUCUGCUGGAGUCCAGGAAGCUCUGGUUAGAGAGGCUGCAACCAGGGGUGUCCUCAGCUGCUCAGGCUCCUAGAGAAUGAGGCUGGAGCAGCAGAAUUGCUUAAGCUCAGGAGUUGGAGGCUAGCCUAGGCAACACAGUGAGACCCCUGUCUCUACAAAAAAAAAAAAA
Long non-coding RNA from Mandrillus leucophaeus (drill), 630 nucleotides. RefSeq lists it as uncharacterized. The record is from RefSeq and is a predicted model, not a curated record. NCBI's taxonomy places the organism in Eukaryota, Metazoa, Chordata, Mammalia, Primates, Cercopithecidae. The transcript has 3 exons.